RNAcentral lists this unclassified non-coding RNA (264 nucleotides) under Hevea brasiliensis (rubber tree). Lineage: Eukaryota; Viridiplantae; Streptophyta; Magnoliopsida; Malpighiales; Euphorbiaceae. The record is from RNAcentral.
CAAUUUACACAUGGCUUGAGAGAAAAAAGAGAAAUACUGACUAAGCUCUAUGCUGGAACUGUCCAGAUCAGCGUCUAACUAAAAAAUUGGUAAUUAUAAGUUCGAGGAAUUUUACUGCGUAAAAUUUGAAAGUUGAUGGAAUUUUAUGUUACAUUUUUAAGUUAAAUGAUAUCUUUGUUAUAACCCCUAAAGUUCAGGGACAACUAUUGAAAUUUAUCUCUCCCGCCCCCCGCCCCUUAUAUCCCAUAUUUAUAUCCAUACUUG